This 282-nucleotide long non-coding RNA is filed under the name Gallus gallus (chicken). The record is from RNAcentral. Lineage: Eukaryota; Metazoa; Chordata; Aves; Galliformes; Phasianidae.
GUCUCCUGGGAGGAUCCUUCAUGAUCCCCAUGCUGAUCCAUGAGAAUAUUUGACCUACUUCUGCUACGAGUUGCUAUGGGUAAUCGAUUUUUUUUGUUAGCUGGAGUGGUAGCAGGAGAGAGCUGUGGGGUAUUAUACGGAGUCAUUUCAAGGCUGCUACUCUUCCCUGGUUUGUUCUGGGGUAAGUUUGCUAGCAAGUUUUCCAAAGCCAUCCGAUCUUCCUUAAGUUGAUCACUCAACAUUACAUUUCGCAUGAAACCAACCAGGGUAGUUAGCUGGCUG